This 31-nucleotide non-coding RNA is filed under the name Mus musculus (house mouse). The record is from RNAcentral. Lineage: Eukaryota; Metazoa; Chordata; Mammalia; Rodentia; Muridae.
UUGGCUACAUUGAAUGGCUUCUGAUAAUGGC